Molecule: transfer RNA, 84 nt
Filed under: Pseudomonadota bacterium
Lineage: Bacteria; Pseudomonadati; Pseudomonadota
Also listed under: 1 other name
Description: tRNA-Leu
Rfam family: tRNA
About the family: Transfer RNA (tRNA) molecules are approximately 80 nucleotides in length. Their secondary structure includes four short double-helical elements and three loops (D, anti-codon, and T loops).
Source: RNAcentral
GCCCGGGUGGCGGAAGUGGCAGACGCGCCAGACUAAGGAUCUGGUCCCAGCAAUGGGGUAGGAGUUCAAGUCUCCUCCCGGGCA